This 601-nucleotide ribosomal RNA is filed under the name Hydrangeocola sp. 1DLJQ. Its description in RNAcentral is "partial 28S ribosomal RNA". It matches the Rfam family "Eukaryotic large subunit ribosomal RNA", at positions 360 to 729 of the family's 3401-position model. Lineage: Eukaryota; Metazoa; Arthropoda; Insecta; Hymenoptera; Braconidae. The record is from RNAcentral.
AAAGUUGAAAAGAACUUUGAAGAGAGAGUUCAAGAGUACGUGAAACCGUUCAGGGGUAAACCUGAGAAACCCAAAAGAUCGAAUGGGGAGAUUCAUCGUCAGCGUAUUUGAUAUAUGUAUAAGUUAUGAUAUGAAUUAUCCUCUCACGAGGAUAUAAAUUUGUACAUACUUGUAUUAUUUUAUUGUCAAUUAUUGUCGGCGUGCACUUCUCCUCUAGUAGGACGUCGCGACCCGUUGAGUGUCGAUCUACGGCCUAAUUGGGUAGCCUUUAAUUGUAANAAAUUAAAGACCAAUUGGUGUUUUCUGAUCGACUGNUCGGCGGUACUCGUACGGUAUUGAGUCGCAUUUUAUAUGCGUUAACACCCGUCGCAAGCGAGGCCAGUCACCCGGUAGUGCGGACCUAGUGCCGUCACUGGGCCUGGCCAGCUGUUGGCUGUUGCGGUGUUCUGUAACUGGCUCUAAAUGAAAUUACCGGUCAGCGACGCUACUGCUUUGGGUACUUUCAGGACCCGUCUUGAAACACGGACCAAGGAGUCUAACAUGUGCGCGAGUCAUUGGGAUUAUUUUAUUAAAUUAAACCUAAAGGCGCAAUGAAAGUAAA